Transfer RNA from Eubacteriaceae bacterium CHKCI004, 74 nucleotides. It matches the Rfam family "tRNA". From Rfam's summary of the family: Transfer RNA (tRNA) molecules are approximately 80 nucleotides in length. The record is from Rfam. NCBI's taxonomy places the organism in Bacteria, Bacillati, Bacillota, Clostridia, Eubacteriales, Eubacteriaceae.
GUGUCCGUAGCUCAGCUGGAUAGAGCAACGGCCUUCUAAGCCGUGGGUCGGGGGUUCGAAUCCCUUCGGGCACG